Molecule: ribosomal RNA, 89 nt
Filed under: Acinetobacter baumannii 45002_5
Lineage: Bacteria; Pseudomonadati; Pseudomonadota; Gammaproteobacteria; Moraxellales; Moraxellaceae
Source: RNAcentral
UGGCGACCAUAGCAAGAGUGAACCACCUGAUCCCUUCCCGAACUCAGAAGUGAAACCUCUUAGCGCUGAUGGUAGUGUGGGAUUACCCA